AACGAACGCUGGCGGCAUGCCUAACACAUGCAAGUCGAACGAUGCCUUCGUGCAUAGUUGCGCACCUGUGCGUACCGCCUGGUAAUCUGCCUUUCGGUUCGCUAUCCCUCACUUUAACUUGACUUAAUACCGGUUAACCUCACACCACCAAAGAUUUCUCACGGAAGGAUGAGCCGGCGUAAGUUUCGCUGGUUGGUGAUGUACAGGCUCACCAAGGCGACGGUCGUUAGCUGGUCUGAGAGGAUGAUCAGACACAGUGGGCCUGAGACACGGCACAGACACGGAAGGGAGGAAGGAGUGGGGAAGAUUGGACAAUGGGCGAAAGCUGGAUCAAGCAAUGCCGCGUGAGGGAGGAAGGCCGGAGGGUUGUAAAGCUCGUUUACCAGGGAAGAUAAGGACGGUACCGGGAGAAUAAGCCACGGGUAACUCCGUGC
This 434-nucleotide ribosomal RNA is filed under the name uncultured bacterium. Its description in RNAcentral is "partial 16S ribosomal RNA". It matches the Rfam family "Bacterial small subunit ribosomal RNA", at positions 29 to 508 of the family's 1533-position model. The record is from RNAcentral.